UCAGAACGAACGCUGGCGGCGUGCUUAACACAUGCAAGUCGAGCGCGAACGCCCCCUUCGGGGGGUUAGUAGAGCGGCGCACGGGUGAGUAACACGUGUGGUAAUCUACCAUCUGGUUCGGAAUAACCGGGGGAAACUCGGGCUAAUGCCGGGCGUGACCAUGGAUUGAGAUAUCCGUGGGGAAAGCGGGGGACCUCCUCGGAGGCCUCGCGCCAGAUGAUGAGCCCGCGGACCAUCAGCUAGUUGGCGGGGUAAUGGUCCACCAAGGCAAAGACGGGUAGCUGGUCUGAGAGGAUGAUCAGCCACACUGGAACUGAGAUACGGUCCAGACUCCUACGGGAGGCAGCAGUGGCGAAUUUUGGACAAUGGGCGAAAGCCUGAUCCAGCAACGCCGUGUGAGUGAUGAACGUCUUCGGAUCGUAAAGCUCUGUCGGCAGGAACGAUGCACUUAUCGGCUAAUACCCGGUUAGUGUGACGGUACCUGCAAAGGAAGCACCGGCUAACUCUGUGCCAGCAGCCGCGGUAAGACAGAGGGUGCAAGCGUUGUUCGGAAUUAUUGGGCGUAAUGCGCACGUAGGCGGCAUCGCAAGUCCGAUGUGAAAGCC
This 605-nucleotide ribosomal RNA is filed under the name uncultured organism. Its description in RNAcentral is "bacterial SSU rRNA". It matches the Rfam family "Bacterial small subunit ribosomal RNA", at positions 24 to 602 of the family's 1533-position model. The record is from RNAcentral.